GAUAUAAAUUUAGUCAACUGCCAGGGCACUACGAACACAUGUUUAAAACCCAAAGGAAUUGGCGGUAUUAUAACCAACUAGGGGAACCUGUUCCUUAAUUCGAUAACCCACGAAAAUCUUACUCACUCUAGCUGAUCAGCUUAUAUACCGUCGUUUAGCUAACCCUCCGAGGGAAAAUAAGUUAGCAAAAAAGGUCUUCCCCUAAUAAAACAGAUAAAGGUGUAGCCAACGAGUGAGGGAGAAUUUGUUACAAUUAAUAAUUUGUUAAUGGAUCAAAAAUGAAAUUUUUUGGAGAAAGAGGACUUAGAAGUAAUUUUUUUUAAUAAAAACAAAUGAAUACGGCUCUAUA
RNAcentral lists this ribosomal RNA (349 nucleotides) under Scutellastra aphanes. RNAcentral describes it as "partial 12S ribosomal RNA". It matches the Rfam family "Bacterial small subunit ribosomal RNA", at positions 848 to 1378 of the family's 1533-position model. Lineage: Eukaryota; Metazoa; Mollusca; Gastropoda; Patellidae. The record is from RNAcentral.